GAUCAUGGCUCAGGAUGAACGCUAGCUACAGGCUUAACACAUGCAAGUCGAGGGGCAGCAUGAUCUUAGCUUGCUAAGAUUGAUGGCGACCGGCGCACGGGUGAGUAACGCGUAUCCAACCUUCCCUAUAGUAGGGGAUAGCCCGUAGAAAUGCGGAUUAAUACCCUAUGUUGUAUUUCGAUGACAUCUGACGAAUACCAAAGGUUCACCGCUAUAGGAUGGGGAUGCGUCUGAUUAGGUAGUCGGCGGGGUAACGGCCCACCGAGCCAACGAUCAGUAGGGGUUCUGAGAGGAAGGUCCCCCACAUUGGAACUGAGACACGGUCCAAACUCCUACGGGAGGCAGCAGUGAGGAAUAUUGGUCAAUGGGCGAGAGCCUGAACCAGCCAAGUAGCGUGCAGGAUGACGGCCCUAUGGGUUGUAAACUGCUUUUAUGCGGGGAUAAAGUGAGGGACGUGUCCCUUAUUGUAGGUACCGCAUGAAUAAGGACCGGCUAAUUCCGUGCCAGCCGCUGC
RNAcentral lists this ribosomal RNA (514 nucleotides) under uncultured bacterium. Its description in RNAcentral is "bacterial SSU rRNA". It matches the Rfam family "Bacterial small subunit ribosomal RNA", at positions 15 to 518 of the family's 1533-position model. The record is from RNAcentral.